AGAGUUUGAUCAUGGCUCAGAUUGAACGCUGGCGGCAUGCCUUACACAUGCAAGUCGAACGGCAGCACGGGAGCAAUCCUGGUGGCGAGUGGCGAACGGGUGAGUAAUAUAUCGGAACGUGCCCAGUCGUGGGGGAUAACGUAGCGAAAGCUACGCUAAUACCGCAUACGAUCUACGGAUGAAAGCGGGGGACUCGUAAGGGCUUCGCGCGAUUGGAGCGGCCGAUAUCAGAUUAGGUUGUUGGUGAGGUAAAAGCUCACCAAGCCUGCGAUCUGUAGCUGGUCUGAGAGGACGACCAGCCACACUGGAACUGAGACACGGUCCAGACUCCUACGGAAGGCAGCAGUGGGGAAUUUUGGACAAUGGACGCAAGUCUGAUCCAGCAAUGCCGCGUGCAGGACGAAGGCCUUCGGGUUGUAAACUGCUUUUGUACGGAACGAAACGGUCUUCUUUAAUACGGAGGGCUAAUGACGAUACCGUAAGAAUAGA
RNAcentral lists this ribosomal RNA (489 nucleotides) under uncultured Rhodoferax sp. RNAcentral describes it as "bacterial SSU rRNA". It matches the Rfam family "Bacterial small subunit ribosomal RNA", at positions 8 to 490 of the family's 1533-position model. Lineage: Bacteria; Pseudomonadati; Pseudomonadota; Betaproteobacteria; Burkholderiales; Comamonadaceae. The record is from RNAcentral.